GCGAUACAGGGUGACAGCCCCGUACACAAAAAUGCACAUAUUGUGAGCUCGAUGAGUAGGGCGGGACACGUGGUAUCCUGUCUGAAUAUGGGGGGACCAUCCUCCAAGGCUAAAUACUCCUGACUGACCGAUAGUGAACCAGUACCGUGAGGGAAAGGCGAAAAGAACCCCGGCGAGGGGAGUGAAAAAGAACCUGAAACCGUGUACGUACAAGCAGUGGGAGCACGCUUAGGGGGGUGACUGCGUACCUUUUGUAUAAUGGGUCAGCGACUUAUAUUCUGUAGCAAGGUUAACCGAAUAGGGGAGCCGAAGGGAAACCGAGUCUUAACUGGGCGUUAAGUUGCAGGGUAUAGACCCGAAACCCGGUGAUCUAGCCAUGGGCAGGUUGAAGGUUGGGUAACACUAACUGGAGGACCGAACCGACUAAUGUUGAAAAAUUAGCGGAUGACUUGUGGCUGGGGGUGAAAGGCCAAUCAAACCGGGAGAUAGCUGGUUCUCCCCGAAAGCUAUUUAGGUAGCGCCUCGUGAAUUCAUCUCCGGGGGUAGAGCACUGUUUCGGCAAGGGGGUCAUCCCGACUUACCAACCCGAUGCAAACUGCGAAUACCGGAGAAUGUUAUCACGGGAGACACACGGCGGGUGCUAACGUCCGUCGUGAAGAGGGAAACAACCCAGACCGCCAGCUAAGGUCCCAAAGUCAUGGUUAAGUGGGAAACGAUGUGGGAAGGCCCAGACAGCCAGGAUGUUGGCUUAGAAGCAGCCAUCAUUUAAAGAAAGCGUAAUAGCUCACUGGUCGAGUCGGCCUGCGCGGAAGAUGUAACGGGGCUAAACCAUGCACCGAAGCUGCGGCAGCGACGCUUAUGCGUUGUUGGGUAGGGGAGCGUUCUGUAAGCCUGUGAAGGUGUGCUGUGAGGCAUGCUGGAGGUAUCAGAAGUGCGAAUGCUGACAUAAGUAACGAUAAAGCGGGUGAAAAGCCCGCUCGCCGGAAGACCAAGGGUUCCUGUCCAACGUUAAUCGGGGCAGGGUGAGUCGACCCCUAAGGCGAGGCCGAAAGGCGUAGUCGAUGGGAAACAGGUUAAUAUUCCUGUACUUGGUGUUACUGCGAAGGGGGGACGGAGAAGGCUAUGUUGGCCGGGCGACGGUUGUCCCGGUUUAAGCGUGUAGGCUGGUUUUCCAGGCAAAUCCGGAAAAUCAAGGCUGAGGCGUGAUGACGAGGCACUACGGUGCUGAAGCAACAAAUGCCCUGCUUCCAGGAAAAGCCUCUAAGCAUCAGGUAACAUCAAAUCGUACCCCAAACCGACACAGGUGGUCAGGUAGAGAAUACCAAGGCGCUUGAGAGAACUCGGGUGAAGGAACUAGGCAAAAUGGUGCCGUAACUUCGGGAGAAGGCACGCUGAUAUGUAGGUGAAGUCCCUUGCGGAUGGAGCUGAAAUCAGUCGAAGAUACCAGCUGGCUGCAACUGUUUAUUAAAAACACAGCACUGUGCAAACACGAAAGUGGACGUAUACGGUGUGACGCCUGCCCGGUGCCGGAAGGUUAAUUGAUGGGGUCAGCGCAAGCGAAGCUCUUGAUCGAAGCCCCGGUAAACGGCGGCCGUAACUAUAACGGUCCUAAGGUAGCGAAAUUCCUUGUCGGGUAAGUUCCGACCUGCACGAAUGGCGUAAUGAUGGCCAGGCUGUCUCCACCCGAGACUCAGUGAAAUUGAACUCGCUGUGAAGAUGCAGUGUACCCGCGGCAAGACGGAAAGACCCCGUGAACCUUUACUAUAGCUUGACACUGAACAUUGAGCCUUGAUGUGUAGGAUAGGUGGGAGGCUUUGAAGUGUGGACGCCAGUCUGCAUGGAGCCGACCUUGAAAUACCACCCUUUAAUGUUUGAUGUUCUAACGUGGACCCGUGAUCCGGGUUGCGGACAGUGUCUGGUGGGUAGUUUGACUGGGGCGGUCUCCUCCUAAAGAGUAACGGAGGAGCACGAAGGUUGGCUAAUCCUGGUCGGACAUCAGGAGGUUAGUGCAAUGGCAUAAGCCAGCUUGACUGCGAGCGUGACGGCGCGAGCAGGUGCGAAAGCAGGUCAUAGUGAUCCGGUGGUUCUGAAUGGAAGGGCCAUCGCUCAACGGAUAAAAGGUACUCCGGGGAUAACAGGCUGAUACCGCCCAAGAGUUCAUAUCGACGGCGGUGUUUGGCACCUCGAUGUCGGCUCAUCACAUCCUGGGGCUGAAGUAGGUCCCAAGGGUAUGGCUGUUCGCCAUUUAAAGUGGUACGCGAGCUGGGUUUAGAACGUCGUGAGACAGUUCGGUCCCUAUCUGCCGUGGGCGCUGGAGAACUGAGGGGGGCUGCUCCUAGUACGAGAGGACCGGAGUGGACGCAUCACUGGUGUUCGGGUUGUCAUGCCAAUGGCACUGCCCGGUAGCUAAAUGCGGAAGAGAUAAGUGCUGAAAGCAUCUAAGCACGAAACUUGCCCCGAGAUGAGUUCUCCCUGACCCUUUAAGGGUCCUGAAGGAACGUUGAAGACGACGACGUUGAUAGGCCGGGUGUGUAAGCGCAGCGAUGCGUUGAGCUAACCGGUACUAAUGAACCGUGAGGCUUAACCUU
Molecule: ribosomal RNA, 2588 nt
Filed under: Escherichia coli KTE100
Lineage: Bacteria; Pseudomonadati; Pseudomonadota; Gammaproteobacteria; Enterobacterales; Enterobacteriaceae
Description: bacterial LSU rRNA
Rfam family: Bacterial large subunit ribosomal RNA
Source: RNAcentral